GAAAUAAAAUAAUGAUUAAAGAUUAUUGGACUGGUAAAUAACCACGUCAAAAUUUUGAUACAACCAUUGCUGACGUCCUUUUGCUUGCUUCUGGUUUUGUUACUUGCAUUUCUUAACUUUGUUGGUAGAACUUCAAAUUGGCCAGCUGGUUUUCCUGGCCAAGAGAGACCUCGCCGGUGCUUCUUUUGUUUUUUUUGAUUCCCCUAGCCAGCUACUAAGGCUGCAGAAUCACCUUCAGAUAUAAUCUUUUUGUAUGAAUGAAGGAUCUCCUCAUUUCAUAGGAUUGAAGCCUAUAGCUGGGCCUCAUGCCUUAAAACGUGUGCCUCCAGAAUGGGGGCAGGUUGGCUCCAAGAGAAUGCCAAUGUUUUUCUAAAUUAGGCCCCAGACAUCCAUGCUUUGCUAGGUGUAACCUCUCAAAAUUCCAUAUCUCCUCAAGCUCGACCUCAUAAAAUUAUAAUCCUUCUAUUUCCAAGCUCGGCCCAAGUAUUUAUUAGGUUGGUGAGGCCUUGGUACUGAAUGAUAUCUAUGAUCUUUCGUUUAUUAUUGUCUACAAUUUACUAUCUACGCUGCUAAAGAGUCAAGAAUAUAAGACAGUACUCGCUACAAAGAUGAAUAGUUUACCUAACACAGAAAAGAAUAUUUUAAACUCGAGAUUUAGUUUUUCAAAAACUAGACGCAAUUAUCACUUUAGCUAAGUGUCUAACUAUAAUAUAUAGAAAAUUUUCUUUAUAAUUGGAUCCCAAAAAGAUCCCUAUUACUUGUGUUCUUUUAACUACCAAGUAGACUGAUCUCUUAAAUGUUAAUGGGGUGAUUAGUAUUUUAAGAGCAAGUUGUGCCUUUAAGACUUUAACCCUUAGUCCCC
Molecule: long non-coding RNA, 862 nt
Filed under: Ricinus communis (castor bean)
Lineage: Eukaryota; Viridiplantae; Streptophyta; Magnoliopsida; Malpighiales; Euphorbiaceae
Description: long non-coding RNA (RCOM_LNC001631)
Source: RNAcentral